Molecule: transfer RNA, 86 nt
Filed under: Sphingosinicellaceae bacterium
Lineage: Bacteria; Pseudomonadati; Pseudomonadota; Alphaproteobacteria; Sphingomonadales; Sphingosinicellaceae
Description: tRNA-Leu
Rfam family: tRNA
About the family: Transfer RNA (tRNA) molecules are approximately 80 nucleotides in length. Their secondary structure includes four short double-helical elements and three loops (D, anti-codon, and T loops).
Source: RNAcentral
GCCCGCGUGGCGGAAUGGUAGACGCAUGGGACUUAAAAUCCCCCGCUCUUUCGAGUGUGCCGGUUCGAGUCCGGCCGCGGGCACCA